This 79-nucleotide transfer RNA is filed under the name Candidatus Atribacteria bacterium. RNAcentral describes it as "tRNA-Asp". It matches the Rfam family "tRNA". Rfam says of the family: Transfer RNA (tRNA) molecules are approximately 80 nucleotides in length. RNAcentral also lists the same sequence under 1 other name. Lineage: Bacteria; Pseudomonadati; Atribacterota; Atribacteria. The record is from RNAcentral.
GGGGUCGUAGUGUAGCCUGGUUUAACACGCCUGCCUGUCACGCAGGAGAUCGCGAGUUCAAAUCUCGUCGACCCCGCCA